RNAcentral lists this ribosomal RNA (208 nucleotides) under uncultured bacterium. RNAcentral describes it as "partial 16S ribosomal RNA". It matches the Rfam family "Bacterial small subunit ribosomal RNA", at positions 568 to 774 of the family's 1533-position model. The record is from RNAcentral.
CACGUAGGCGGGUUAUUAAGUCGGAUGUGAAAUCUCCACGGCUCAACCGGGAAAGUGCAUCCGAAACUGGCAGCCUUGAGGUAUGGAGAGGGAAGUGGAAUUCCUGGUGUAGCGGUGAAAUGCGUAGAUAUCAGGAGGAACACCCGUGGCGAAGGCGGCUUCCUGGCCAUAACCUGACGCUGAGGUGCGAAAGCUAGGGGAGCGAACG